RNAcentral lists this ribosomal RNA (253 nucleotides) under uncultured bacterium. Its description in RNAcentral is "partial 16S ribosomal RNA". It matches the Rfam family "Bacterial small subunit ribosomal RNA", at positions 524 to 776 of the family's 1533-position model. The record is from RNAcentral.
UACAGAGGGGGCAAGCGUUGUUCGGAAUUACUGGGCGUAAAGGGCGCGUAGGCGGCCUGCUAAGUCGAACGUGAAAUCCCUGGGCUCAACCCAGGAACUGCGUCCGAUACUGGUUGGCUUGAAUCCGGGAGAGGGAUGUGGAAUUCCAGGUGUAGCGGUGAAAUGCGUAGAUAUCGUAAGGAAGACCAGUGGCGAAGGCGAGUCUCUGGACAGCAACUGACGCUGAGGCACGAAGGCCAGGGGAGCAAACGGG